This is a long non-coding RNA of Lolium rigidum, 2698 nucleotides long. RefSeq lists it as uncharacterized. The transcript has 5 exons. Lineage: Eukaryota; Viridiplantae; Streptophyta; Magnoliopsida; Poales; Poaceae. The record is from RefSeq and is a predicted model, not a curated record.
CACGAGCGGGACAGAAGAUACGUGGAGGCGGUCGCCCGACCCACUGAUGGCGAGGAAGAGCAAGGGGCGGGCCGGCACCCCCACAGAGUUGCUGGGGACUGCUGGGAGGAGGAGCACACGAUCUUCUGGCCUACUUUGUCACCGAGGAUGCAGACCAGCAGCCCAGGAACCUGCCCUCCUCUGCCUCUUCUUCAAACGAGACCAGCAAGUUAUCUCCUCUCCCUCUCUUUCUCUCCUCUCUCUCUCUCUCUCUCUCUCUCUCUCUCUCUCUCUCUCUCUCUCUCUCUCUCUCUCUCUCUCUCUCUCAAAGGAAUAGAGAAAAUCUCAACUUUAUUUGUAACUUUAUUUGUUGGUGCAGAUCUGUUUUCAUAUGCUCACAAGGUGCUUGAUGACAACUCUAGCUAAUAUUAUUAUUGACAGGAAGUGGCAGCGCGUGGUGGUGGUCCUCGGCAACGACGAGAGGGAGACCGGAUGGAUGCUUCAAGAUUCAAUGUGGUUGUCAUGAUCCUCCAAUCCAUUUGGCUCCUUACUGCCAAUUUGGUCAUUUUACUCGACUUUUCCCCCUUUUGAUUUGGCUUGUAUGUUUUAUGUGUGAUCUGAACGUUCGUUAGUUUUGUUUCAUGGAUAAUUAUUUGUUUGGCAUGAACUACUCCAGAGCAGGGUGUAUACAAUAUUCUUUAGAUUUUGGUUAUAUUAGGCUGGUCUUUUUUGAUGGUAUGGGCAAAGAGAUUAUUUGUAUGUCAUUGUUUUUUUAUUUUGGCCAGCAUUUCGUGAAUAAGUUCUAAUAGGGGGAUUGUAGCUCCUUUUUGUAGAUCUAAAUUCCAUCUCUUUAUUUGAUAGGGCACCUACACAUUUUAGAUUUAUUGUUUGUUGCUUUGUUUACAUGCAAGGUAUGAGAACCAGGAUGCAAAUGCUACAUCGCAACCUGUGUACCAAGCUUGAAGAAAUUUAGAAACUGAGGGAGCAUAAAAUCCAAGAGCUUUUACAUCAGAAUGUUGCUGUUGAGUUGGCAUGAUAUUCAGGCCAUAGUCAAUGUAUUUGCUGGUGUGUUUGAGGUGGAUGUAUCAAACUGGCCACCAUUUAUGCCAAAUGGUUUCGAAGGUGUUGAAACCGGAUCCACAGUAGUCUUAUUUGCCUAUGUUGGAUUUGAUGCAGUUGCUAAUUUUGCAGAGGAAGCUAAAUGACCACCGGAGGAUCUCAUGGCGUGACCGAAGAAGAUGGGGAUCCUAAAUUGCCGGAGAUGAUGUCUCAAGGAAUGAGAAUUGUUUUGGGUUAUCAGACUAGUGGGUGGAUGGUGAGGAGAACGGUAGAGGUCAUGAACAUUGUUGUCUGAGCACAUCUCAAGGGACUGAAGUUUCUCUACCCCAAUGACGUACUGAGGUACCACAUUUAUCGUUUACCAUGGUUCUUCUACCAUUCUUAUCUCUGCAAUCACAAAGGGACAUGCAUAUGCACACAAGCAGCAUCCCCUCCCCCCUAAUUUAGGACAGCUUCCUUUCACUUCUUUUUGUAGUAGCCUUGUGAUUUACAUAUUUACUUGCACAUCUUUGGAGUGAAGAGUGCCAUUAACCCCUUCACCAAACACAUGUACUUCAUAUAUGCUUAGCCAUACAUGUUAUUUAAUAAUUAAGAGUUAUUUAUAUGCAUAAGCACCUGAUAAGCAUUGCUGCCUUAUGAAGCAGCGUUGUUAAGAUUGGAACCUUACAUCAAGAAAAAUGGGUUUCUUGGCACAUGGAUUUGGCAUUAACUUUCUAAAACUUGUGAUUGAUUGAUUUACUUGCUAGGAUAAAGUGUAGGCUAUUGAAGGAACAAAUGCUCAAAAUAGUCUUUUUUUGGCAACUGAAAGAUCAGGCAAGAUGUCAGAGCACUUUAUUGGACAUGCAAGCAAGAUUGCUUCUGGAUAUGCUAGGCAAGGGAAUAGAGUCUGCCCUGAUAAAUCCAUCAACUCUGCUACCUACGAUUGCUUGAUGAGGAAUACAUAUGAAAAAUGGAUUUAUUUAUUUGCUCAGAGUUCGUUCGUACAUGCACAUUUGUUAUAUUUGGUACUUUCCAAAGGAAAAUAAGAAAGGGCAACCUAUCCAUGUUAUCUGGAAUAAGUACUUUACUUAUACUACUUCCAUGUUUUUACAAUUUUACUUCAGCAUGAACCAUGAAGUCAUAUAUCAAGAAAUUACGGCUAAUCAACAAAGUAAUGUAUCCAAAUAUUAUCAGUUUAUCGUGCUUUGGAUCGUUGCUGCUUCCGGGUAAUUGUAUCAUAUAGUCGAUGGUGGUGAUUGUAUGAUUACAGGAUGUUAUCAAGAAGUAUUAUGCAUCGAUUGUCAAGACCAAAAAUGAGAGCACAUAGCCUGCCUGUUGAUGCAACUGUCGAAAUUGUUGAGCUGAGUUCAGGAAGUAUGGUGCUAUCAAACCUGGCGAGUAGUACACCGUCAGAUGGAGCCUCAGCAUAAGUGGGAUUUGCCAAACCGUGAUUGCAAUGAUGGAGGGCACCAUGAUAUGGAAAUAUGUCCUCCCCGAUCAAUCUGGGUAGUUGCUUCAGAUUCAAGUUGUUCCUUUGAGCAGUAGUCCAGCGGACUACUAUGCUUGUUUUGGUGCGGUAAAUUAAGUUCAUGGCUUGUUUAGAUGAACAUUGAAAUUCUUCAGAGGGCUGUAUUACUAUUGUCUAUCUCUGAAUAUUGGAAGUUGAUGGUUUUUUCUUUUG